AGCCCGGUGGGCGCGCGAGGCUAGACUGCGGACGCACGCGGCCGGUGAGGACGCGAGUGGAGAGUGCUUCUCGGUCAGCGGGUGUGCUCUGGGCCGGGGCCGCGUUGGCAUGACUUCAGGGUCGCGUGGACGGCGCCUGGGUUUGAGGAGCAUCGUCCUGCUGAGGGCCUGCAGUGGCAUCCAACCUGGUAAAAUGCCCAGGUGUAUGCAGCACCCUGGACACUGUAUCAGUCACUGCCAUCCCCAGACUCCAAGCCAUGCAGGAGCUGACGAAAAGAGCCCGGACCCGGAAACCUGCACCCGAAGUCCCUCUAAGGGAUAGAAAGUUCGAGUGGGGGUCCCACCAGCUGGAGGAAAGCUGUGGGGUGUAUUCACUGAACUGGUGAUCACCUGCCACGUGGAAGAGAGGACCCAGCCUGCAGGGAAGGGUGGGCAUGGAGCACCCGCCUUUCCUGGGAAAGCAGGUGGCACCCUGAGUCAACGGGAGGACCAGGCCAUCCCUCUUGGCUCUGCUACUGUCGCCCCUCCCGGCCUGGAGGAAAUCCUACUUCACCGGCAUGGAGCUGCCACGGGUGUCCUGCUCUGAGUCCAGCUUGAAGCCCAGCACCAGGGAGGACAUCAAGCGGGUGUGGAGGCCAGUGGGGGCCUUAAGCGGGUGUGGUUUCUAAUGCACCGAUGGAGCCUAACAAUGCUUGAGAAAUGCUGA
Sorex araneus (European shrew) is the source of this 706-nucleotide long non-coding RNA. RefSeq lists it as uncharacterized. The transcript has 5 exons. The record is from RefSeq and is a predicted model, not a curated record. NCBI's taxonomy places the organism in Eukaryota, Metazoa, Chordata, Mammalia, Eulipotyphla, Soricidae.